Molecule: ribosomal RNA, 368 nt
Filed under: Phytophthora infestans T30-4
Lineage: Eukaryota; Oomycota; Peronosporomycetes; Peronosporales; Peronosporaceae
Description: 18S ribosomal RNA
Rfam family: Eukaryotic small subunit ribosomal RNA
Source: RNAcentral
GAUGCCCUUAGAUGUUCUGGGCCGCACGCGCGCUACACUGAUGCGUUCAACGAGUAUACAACCUCGAUCGAUAGGUCUGGGUAAUCUUGUGAAUGCGCAUCGUGCUAGGGAUAGACUGUUGCAAUUUUCAGUCUUGAACGAGGAAUUCCUAGUAAACGCAAGUCAUCAGCUUGCAUUGAUUACGUCCCUGCCCUUUGUACACACCGCCCGUCGCACCUACCGAUUGAAUGACUCGGUGAAAAAUUGGGACCGUGAGUCUGUUUGCUUUAUUGCGAGUGGAUUGAUGGGAACUUUUUUAAACCUCGCCAUUUAGAGGAAGGUGAAGUCGUAACAAGGUUUCCGUAGGUGAACCUGCGGAAGGAUCAUUA